RNAcentral lists this ribosomal RNA (465 nucleotides) under Vreelandella stevensii. RNAcentral describes it as "partial 16S ribosomal RNA". It matches the Rfam family "Bacterial small subunit ribosomal RNA", at positions 338 to 795 of the family's 1533-position model. The record is from RNAcentral. Lineage: Bacteria; Pseudomonadati; Pseudomonadota; Gammaproteobacteria; Oceanospirillales; Halomonadaceae.
CCUACGGGUGGCUGCAGUGGGGAAUAUUGGACAAUGGGCGAAAGCCUGAUCCAGCCAUGCCGCGUGUGUGAAGAAGGCCUUCGGGUUGUAAAGCACUUUCAGUGGGGAAGAAAGCCUUGGGGCUAAUACCCUCGAGGAAGGACAUCACCCACAGAAGAAGCACCGGCUACCUCCGUGCCAGCAGCCGCGGUAAUACGGAGGGUGCGAGCGUUAAUCGGAAUUACUGGGCGUAAAGCGCGCGUAGGCGGUCUGAUAAGCCGGUUGUGAAAGCCCCGGGCUCAACCUGGGAACGGCAUCCGGAACUGUCAGGCUAGAGUGCAGGAGAGGAAGGUAGAAUUCCCGGUGUAGCGGUGAAAUGCGUAGAGAUCGGGAGGAAUACCAGUGGCGAAGGCGGCCUUCUGGACUGACACUGACGCUGAGGUGUGAAAGCGUGGGUAGCAAACAGGAUUAGAUACCCCUGUAGUC